UCUCAUCAUGGAAACAUGGUGGGAUGACUCACACAACUGGAAUGCUGCGAUGGAUGGCUAUAAACUCUUCAGCAGAGACUGGCAAAGGAGAGGUGGUGGGGUAGCUCUGCUUGAGUGAGCACGUCCCUGGAGAGUGUGUUCCAGUGAAGACCUUUUCCUGAUAUCCAACCUAAACAUUCCCUGACUCAGCUUCAUGCCAUUUCCUUGGGUCCUGUCACUGGUUACAAGAGUGAAGAGAUCAGUGCCUGCCCCUUCACCCCGCCUUUUACCACAUGUCUGCUGCAAAUACAAGACAGUGGAGAGGAAAGAAAUCUGGAAAUUCUUGGAGUAUGUGGAAGAGAACUUCCUGAGACAACUGGUGAGGGGGUCAACUUGGGAACGCACCAACUGGAUCUGCUAUCUGUGAACAGAGAAGGAUUUUUGGUUGCCAAAGGCCAUCUUGGGCAAAGUGAUCAUGAAAUAAUAGAGCUGUCAAUUCCUUAGAAGAUUCUCAGUUCUCAAAGAACCUCAGGUUUCUGGAUGUCAGACU
Molecule: long non-coding RNA, 529 nt
Organism: Passer domesticus (house sparrow)
Lineage: Eukaryota; Metazoa; Chordata; Aves; Passeriformes; Passeridae
Exons: 3
Source: RefSeq, a predicted model, not a curated record